GUCGAGCGAACAGACGAGGAGCUUGCUCCUUUGACGUUAGCGGCGGACGGGUGAGUAACACGUAGGUAACCUACCUAUAAGACUGGGAUAACUUCGGGAAACCGGAGCUAAUACCGGAUAAUAUUUCGAACCGCAUGGUUCGAUAGUGAAAGAUGGCUUUGCUAUCACUUAUAGAUGGACCUGCGCCGUAUUAGCUAGUUGGUAAGGUAACGGCUUACCAAGGCAACGAUACGUAGCCGACCUGAGAGGGUGAUCGGCCACACUGGAACUGAGACACGGUCCAGACUCCUACGGGAGGCAGCAGUAGGGAAUCUUCCGCAAUGGGCGAAAGCCUGACGGAGCAACGCCGCGUGAGUGAUGAAGGUCUUCGGAUCGUAAAACUCUGUUAUUAGGGAAGAACAAACGUGUAAGUAACUGUGCACGUCUUGACGGUACCUAAUCAGAAAGCCACGGCUAACUACGUGCCAGCAGCCGCGGUAAUACGUAGGUGGCAAGCGUUAUCCGGAAUUAUUGGGCGUAAAGCGCGCGUAGGCGGUUUUUUAAGUCUGAUGUGAAAGCCCACGGCUCAACCGUGGAGGGUCAUUGGAAACUGGAAAACUUGAGUGCAGAAGAGGACAGUGGAAUUCCAUGUGUAGCGGUGAAAUGCGCA
RNAcentral lists this ribosomal RNA (649 nucleotides) under Staphylococcus hominis. RNAcentral describes it as "bacterial SSU rRNA". It matches the Rfam family "Bacterial small subunit ribosomal RNA", at positions 61 to 692 of the family's 1533-position model. The record is from RNAcentral. Lineage: Bacteria; Bacillati; Bacillota; Bacilli; Caryophanales; Staphylococcaceae.